AGCCCUUAGGCCAUCCACUAUGGGCGGGUAGUAUCCCACGUGGAAGAGGUAGCACCACAGUGGAGAUAAAAUAUUUGGGGUAGCAAAAUGGAUUGGGUAGCAAGUUUGCUACCAGGUAGCAAACUAACAUGUGGGACCCGUCUGUUUCCUUUUCUUUCAUUUUUUUGGUUUUUAUUUUUUCUUUCCACCUUUUUUAAUGUUUGUUUCCUUUUUCUAUUUCGUCCGUUUCUUCUUCUUUUUUUUUCAUUUUUUUUUCUUUAUUUUCUUUUUUCUUCUUUACACUUUUCUUCAUACUAUAUAGACAAUCAAACAAAUAAAUUUGUCAGAUAUCUACAUAUCAAUCCAUCUAUCCCCUAUAUUUGAUGUGAUGGUACGAAGCCACUACUAUAUUUGAUGUGAUGGUACGAAGUAACGAAGCCACUACAAUUGUAACGUUUCAAUUCUCAAACGGCC
This 453-nucleotide long non-coding RNA is filed under the name Salvia miltiorrhiza (redroot sage). RNAcentral describes it as "long non-coding RNA (SMIL_LNC010526)". Lineage: Eukaryota; Viridiplantae; Streptophyta; Magnoliopsida; Lamiales; Lamiaceae. The record is from RNAcentral.